Molecule: transfer RNA, 77 nt
Filed under: Verrucomicrobia bacterium CG1_02_43_26
Lineage: Bacteria; Pseudomonadati; Verrucomicrobiota
Also listed under: 3 other names
Description: tRNA-Pro
Rfam family: tRNA
About the family: Transfer RNA (tRNA) molecules are approximately 80 nucleotides in length. Their secondary structure includes four short double-helical elements and three loops (D, anti-codon, and T loops).
Source: RNAcentral
CGGGCCGUAGCGCAGCCUGGUAGCGCACUUGCAUGGGGUGCAAGGGGUCGUGAGUUCGAAUCUCACCGGCCCGACCA